RNAcentral lists this unclassified non-coding RNA (24 nucleotides) under Mus musculus (house mouse). Its description in RNAcentral is "oocyte_clustered_small_RNA12802". Lineage: Eukaryota; Metazoa; Chordata; Mammalia; Rodentia; Muridae. The record is from RNAcentral.
UGGUGACCCUCAACUGCAUGGAAU